GAUGAACGCUGGCGGCGUGCCUAAUACAUGCAAGUCGAGCGAACAGACGAGGAGCUUGCUCCUCUGACGUUAGCGGCGGACGGGUGAGUAACACGUGGAUAACCUACCUAUAAGACUGGGAUAACUUCGGGAAACCGGAGCUAAUACCGGAUAAUAUAUUGAACCGCAUGGUUCAAUAGUGAAAGACGGUUUUGCUGUCACUUAUAGAUGGAUACCGGCCGCAUUAGCUAGUUGGUAAGGUAACGGCUUACCAAGGCAACGAUGCGUAGCCGACCGGAGAGGGGGAUCGGCCGCACUGGAACUGAGACACGGUCCAGACUCCUACGGGAGGCAGCAGUAGGGAAUCUUCCGCAAUGGGGGGAAGCCUGACGGAGCAACGCCGCGUGAGUUAUGAAGGUCUUCGGAUCGGAAAACUCUGUUAUUAGGGAAAAACAAAUGUGUAAGUAAAUAUGCCCGUCUUGACGGUACCUAAUCAGAAAGCCACGGCUAACUACGUG
Molecule: ribosomal RNA, 497 nt
Filed under: uncultured bacterium
Lineage: Bacteria
Description: partial 16S ribosomal RNA
Rfam family: Bacterial small subunit ribosomal RNA
Source: RNAcentral